CGGGUAACCUACCCAUCAGAGGGGAUAACACUUGGAAACAGGUGCUAAUACCGCAUAACAGUUUAUGCCGCAUGGCAUAAGAGUGAAAGGCGCUUUCGGGUGUCGCUGAUGGAUGGACCCGCGGUGCAUUAGCUAGUUGGUGAGGUAACGGCUCACCAAGGCCACGAUGCAUAGCCGACCUGAGAGGGUGAUCGGCCACACUGGGACUGAGACACGGCCCAG
This 222-nucleotide ribosomal RNA is filed under the name uncultured bacterium. RNAcentral's name for it is "partial 16S ribosomal RNA". It matches the Rfam family "Bacterial small subunit ribosomal RNA", at positions 118 to 334 of the family's 1533-position model. The record is from RNAcentral.